UACGUAGGAGGCGAGCGUUGUCCGGAUUUACUGGGCGUAAAGCGCGCGCGGGCGGCAGUGCAAGUAAGGUGUGAAAUCUCCCUGCUCAACGGGGAGGGUGCACUUUAGACUGCACAGCUCGAGGUCGGUAGAGGGGGGUGGAAUUGCUGGUGUAGCGGUGAAAUGCGUAGAGAUCAGCAGGAACACCCGUGGCGAAGGCGGCCCCCUGGGCCGUACCUGACGCUGAGGCGCGAAGGCUAGGGGAGCGAACGGG
This 253-nucleotide ribosomal RNA is filed under the name uncultured bacterium. RNAcentral describes it as "partial 16S ribosomal RNA". It matches the Rfam family "Bacterial small subunit ribosomal RNA", at positions 524 to 776 of the family's 1533-position model. The record is from RNAcentral.